Molecule: long non-coding RNA, 1992 nt
Organism: Onychostoma macrolepis
Lineage: Eukaryota; Metazoa; Chordata; Actinopteri; Cypriniformes; Cyprinidae
Exons: 4
Source: RefSeq, a predicted model, not a curated record
CAGCAUUCUUUGCUUCAAGAAUGAGCCACACUGCUGACAUGAUCUAAUCGCUAGCACACCCUGAGCACAUGUAAGGAGGAGGAUCCUGAUGAUCAGAAAGAUAUUUAAAGAUGCAUCCGUCACUUGAACAUUCACAAGAUUCUCAGCAUAUACGGUGCAUCUGAUCCUCUGAGCUGGACGUCUGAAGCGAUGAUCACAAACAUGAUUGUGUUGCUGUGUUUGUCUGCACUGUUUCCCGUGUUGAUGGGGACUGAGCCCAACCCUGAUUGUUUUCCUGCCACCGACUGCUCUGACGUUAAUGCGGAAAAAAGUGGCGUGUACACCAUCACCUUAAAAGAUGGAGCGGUGCAGGUCUACUGUGAUGUGGUGUCCGGUGAACAAAAUGACCAAGGACACUGGACGGUACGCAUUUCAAUGUGUUUUAUCUUGCAGAAGGACAUUUUAUUACGAUUUCUAGUAACUUAAAAUUAUUAUUCAAAUAGUCACUCAGUGCUUUUAUUUGUGCUCUUUAUAUCUCAGCAUGAAGAUAAAAGUCUGUUGGAAAACAGUAGAGCUGCCCUCGAAUAAAGAUUUUUCUGGUCGACUAGUAGUCGUUCGUUUGAAGCAUUAGUCGACUAAUCGCACGUUUAUUAAUAAACCAUUACAAUGUAUAAAUAUGAGCUUUUAACUGCCUACAUAGCCUAAUAAGUGCUCAAGGGCACGCAUGAAGCUUGCCACAGCACACUGGCAGAAGUAAUGAUUAUGAAUGUGUCAAGGAAAAACAGCAAGGAGACUGCAUUAACAUUACUAAUUUCUUGAUAAACUAGUGCUUUCUUUGUUUUUGGUUUAAAAGAUGAAGUCGGCGACACUGACUCGCAGUAUGUUUCAUAUGGAUUACACAAUCUGAGGAUAUUGUUUUCCAUUUGAAUUGGUUAAUUUGAAAGUAGACAUUUUGCUCUCUAUAGAUAUCUGUAAGGUAAGUUUACACGGAGUUUCACGCUCAAGUUCACAGAGACCGAGACAGAAAGAGCAUCCUGUUUGCUUCAUUAUUUUACAAAAGCGCAAUGUUUUGUUGUUAUUGUGAGUGCACAUAAAUAAAUAUAGAGUCUUUACAGAUUCAAAAGCUGUAUUACUCUUAUCUGUAUGAGCAAAAAUUAGGGAGUAUUUUAAGAGUAAGUGAGCGCACCGACGCCUUCAUCUGUCCUGCAGUGAGCUACUGUUCAGCUACCACACAGACACUUGAAUAGCGCACAUUUCUCUAGGUUAACAUUAGAUUGAGCGGCCAUGCAAAAUUGCUGCUAUACUAACAUAUUUUAGAUAAGUCGAUGAAUGAUAGGCGAGCGUUUGGAUGUCCUGCCCGAGUACCUUGACCGGCCGUUAACGAUCUCUCCUCACUGAGUGUGUGGCUUUGCCAGUGUGGAAUUUUUUUUUUUUUCUGCGACUAAUAAAAUUCUGGUCGACCAAGCCUCUUCUGGUUGACUAAAGUUUAGUUAAAUAUUAGGGGGCAGCCCUAGAAAACAGUCAUUGAAAUCACUCAGAAAUCACACCACAUAAUUUACAUUUGUUGUUAAACGAAGCUUAUCAAAGGUUGUACACCUUAAACAUCUUUUAAAAGAUGAAUGAUGUGAAAUGAUGAUUGCUGUGUGAAAGCAAUGAAUGACUUCUGAAUGUUUCAGGUGAUUCUCAGGCGAAUGGACGGCGAGGUGAAUUUCUUUAGGCCAUGGGAGAGUUAUAAGAAGGGUUUUGGUAAUAAAGAGCUUUCCUGUAGCUCAAAUAGUAGAGCAUGGCGCUAGCAACGCCAAGAUCAUGGGUUCGAUUCCCAGGGAAAGCAAGAGCUGAUAAAAUGUAAAAAAAAAAAAAAAAAACUACCUUGAAUGCAAUGUAAGUCGCUUUGGAUAAAAAGCGUCUGCUAAAUGCAUAAAUGUAAAUGUAAAUGUAAAGAAGGCGAAUACUGGCUGGGUGAGUGUUUUUGUGACGUUUUGAGCUAAAAAUGAGAAUGACACAAUAAACUUG